UUGUACUUUGUAAAAGUUGUAUAAAAAAUAGUGUGUUCUUGAAUGUGUCCAAUUUAACAGCGAAUUUAAAUUCAGAGUGUCUAUAGUUAGGCAAUUAAAUAGAAAUCUGAAGACUCAUACCCUCUAUUGUUUGGAGUACAGUAAGCCACGAGUUACAGUUACAUAAACAACUGUUUUUAGUUGUGUAUAUUACAAGUUAAUAAAAUUUAGUUCUCUUUUAGUAAUACUAUUUAUAACAGCGUAAGCAUUUUUCAUAAAUCCCGGUUUUCUCAUAUUCUAGUAGUAAAUUUAUUUUAUAUUUUCUAUCUAUCAGGAAAAUGGGUACAGAAAAUCUGCAGACGCCUGCAAGAAUCGCAUAAAGAAUAUGAAGCAUUCUUAUAAAAAAAAUAAAGGACCACAACAAUAAAAGUGGGAGUGGCAAGAAAACUAGCAAGUUUUUUGACGCUAUGGAUAAAAUAUUAGGAACCAGACCCGCUACCCGUCCAACACAUAUUCUGGAGACAAGUAUUAAUUCAGAAACACAAGAUUUGGAUGAUUUUGAUGAUGAUGAUAAUGAUGAGGAACCAACAAGAGUCAAUUUGGAAAAUGAAGAAAAUGAGCCUACAGAAACCGUCCUCCGUAAACAGCCAGAAAAAAAAGGACCAGAAAAGAAAAAAAGAAACAGAGAGGAUAUAAUUCAACGUGUUCUGAAUGAGACAACAACCAGCUUUAUAAAUUAUCAAAGAGAACAAGAAAGAUCAUAUUUUGAAUUCGAAGAAAAAAGAAUGAGAAUGGAGGCAGAUUCAUAGAGACUUAGAAAAGAGCAGAGACGGGAGGAUCGACUUAGAGCUGAGGAACAACGACGCGAGGAUAGGGAAAGAGAUAGGCAACAUGAAUUAAAAUUAUGGAGUUUGUUUGCCAAUCAGGGAUUUCAGCAGCAUCAAUUUUCUCAACAACAAAAUGGACAUGUUCCGCAGCCACAAUUUUUACAAGGAGCUAAUGGACACACAUAUACAAAUUUAUAAAACCAUAUUAUUUUCAAGACCUAUCAUUUUGUGCCAAAAGUUCUGCUAUGUAGAGCAUUUAUUUUCAUUGAUAACAGUUAAUUUUUGUUUGUAGAAAUACAUAGUUUUAUUUAUCAUUCCAUUGUGCCAAGGCUAGAGUUUUAAUAAAUUAAUUUUCAUGUUUUAAUUAUUAAUAUCCAUAUCAUUUAACUUAAUGUAUCAUGAAGCUGAAUCAUAUUAUUUUCAAGAUAUACCAUUUUGUGCCAAAAUAUCUGACAUGUAGCGCAAUUAUUGUCAUUGAUAACAGUUUAUUUUUGUUUCUACAAAUACAUGAAUUUUAUUUGUCAUUCCAUUUUACCAUGGCUCAAGUUUUAAUAAAUUUAUUUCCAUGUUUUAAUUAUUAAUAUCCAUAUCAUUAUCAAAUGUGUCAUGAAGCUGAUAUAUGUACUUGGUUGUGAAAGUUAACUGUAGUUGUAACACGUUUUAUGUGAUUUCAGUUUUUAUGAAUUUAAAUUACCAGUAUGAGAUUAAUUGUUUCAAUGGCAUUUAGCAAUUGAACUGGGAAUACACAGGACAAUCCUUGUUUAUAUCUAAAGCAAAGUUUUGACUUGGCUUCUUAUCGUUAUCAAAUAAUGCGAAACGGUAUGAGGUGGGUGUUUUCUUCUUUGUAAGUCAAUUGAUAAGCCCCUAAUAAGAACAAAACAGUCUGUUAUGUUUUCAAAAAUGGUAAAUUCUCUUUUAUUUAAUACAUUAAUUGAAAGACAUAAAUUAAAAAUUGAUCAAUAACUUUAUAGUGUAGGCUUGUACAGUGGACUCGGAAUAUUCCGAAUUAUUAGACCAAUCUGGGGACCCCCGUUAAACGAUUUCUGUUGAAUUAACAUUGGAUAAUCCGGCCUUCAAUCAGUGGGUGUUAACCGACAAGCAAUCAAUUAUCGGUGAGCUUAAAGUAUGUGUCAGUCUUUGUUAAUAAAACCUUGAUAAUUUUAUAAUUUCUUGUAAGAGAGUGCUUGGUAUUUCAUUUGAUUUUUUCACGUCAAAUACAGCAACAUUAAAUAUAAAUUGCUGAGAUGAAGAAUCACUAUCAUUAUAAUAUUUUGUUCAUAACGACGCACAAGUGUUUUGUACGCACCCAAAGUAAAAACAUAAUAAUUUUAUAUAAUAAAGUUUCAAAUGUACAGAAAGGUUUAUCAUAUUUUUAAGUUCUGGGUAUUCGAAGGUGCAUUAAAAUAAUACUUUGGUAUUCGAGGUACAAUAAUACUUGCAGUUUUGAGACAAUUAAGUAUUCCGUCAUGGUGUAUAAUCCGGCAUUGUAUCGGUCCUGUACAAUGUUGAAAGUGAAAGAGUCCACUGUAUAUUUUUAAUUACAUACACUUCUUCAGUGAUGGACAACAAAGAUGACAAUUGGACCUCUUAUUAUAUAAUCCAACUCUGGCUUAAUGAGAUGCAUGGAUCAAAAAUCAAGAUGCCAAAAGGUGUCAAUUUAAAUUCUGUAUCCAAAUACCUUUAAAUUAGUAUGUGACUUAGAAAUAUGCUUGGAAUAUUUAAAUUUGAAUGUACCAUAAUAUUACUUUUAAGAAAGAAGAUAUUGAAAAUUUUGGAAACAAAUUGAACUCCAUAGCAACCAUUUGGCCAGAGCUGAUCACAUAUAUAGUUAUAAUAGACCCACUGUGUUAUAAGAUUAUCAGUUAUUUUUCUGUUGUAUGAUUUUUAUUAUGAAAAUAAACCAAUUUAGUUUGA
Long non-coding RNA from Patella vulgata (common limpet), 2720 nucleotides. RefSeq lists it as uncharacterized. The record is from RefSeq and is a predicted model, not a curated record. The transcript is spliced from 3 exons. Lineage: Eukaryota; Metazoa; Mollusca; Gastropoda; Patellidae.